AGAAUUUCUUCUUCUCAGAC
Molecule: transfer RNA, 20 nt
Filed under: Mus terricolor (Earth-colored mouse)
Lineage: Eukaryota; Metazoa; Chordata; Mammalia; Rodentia; Muridae
Description: partial tRNA-Thr
Source: RNAcentral